GCGUUAAUCGGAAUUACUGGGCUUAAAGGGUGCGUAGGCGGACCAGAAAGUGCUUUGUGAAAUCCCCCGGCUCAACCGGGGAACAGCGGGGCAUACUGCUGGUCUUGAGGCAAGUAAGGGUUGCGAGAACUGUAGGUGGAGCGGUGAAAUGCGUAGAUAUCUACAGGAAUGCCGAUGGUGAAGACGCGCAACUGGGCUUGUCCUGACGCUGAGGCACGAAAGCGUGGGGAGCAAACAGG
Molecule: ribosomal RNA, 239 nt
Filed under: uncultured bacterium
Lineage: Bacteria
Description: partial 16S ribosomal RNA
Rfam family: Bacterial small subunit ribosomal RNA
Source: RNAcentral